UACGUAGGGGGCAAGCGUUGUCCGGAAUUAUUGGGCGUAAAGAGCGUGUAGGCGGUCCGAUAAGUCGGCUGUGAAAGUCCAGGGCUCAACUCUGGAAUGCCGGCCGAUACUGUCGGACUAGAGUCCGGAAGAGGCAAGUGGAAUUCCCGGUGUAGCGGUGAAAUGCGCAGAUAUCGGGAGGAACACCAAUGGCGAAGGCAGCUUG
This 205-nucleotide ribosomal RNA is filed under the name uncultured bacterium. RNAcentral's name for it is "partial 16S ribosomal RNA". It matches the Rfam family "Bacterial small subunit ribosomal RNA", at positions 524 to 728 of the family's 1533-position model. The record is from RNAcentral.